AUUGAACGCUGGCGGAAUGCUUUACACAUGCAAGUCGAACGGUAGAGGGGGCAACCCCUUGAGAGUGGCGAACGGGUGAGUAAUAUAUCGGAACGUGCCCAGUCGUGGGGAUAACGUAGCGAAAGUUACGCUAAUACCGCAUACGAUCUAAGGAUGAAAGCGGGGGACUCGCAAGAGCCUCGCGCGAUUGGAGCGGCCGAUAUCAGAUUAGGUAGUUGGUGGGGUAAAGGCUCACCAAGCCAACGAUCUGUAGCUGGUCUGAGAGGACGACCAGCCACACUGGAACUGAGACACGGUCCAGACUCCUACGGGAGGCAGCAGUGGGGGAAUUUUGGACAAUGGACGCAAGUCUGAUCCAGCCAUUCCGCGUGCAGGAUGAAGGCCCUCGGGUUUGUAAACUGCUUUUGUACGGAACGAAAGGUUUCUAUUAAUACUAGGAGCUCAUGACAGUACCGUAAGAAUAAGCACCGGCUAACUACGUGCCAGCAGCCGCGGUAAUGUG
This 502-nucleotide ribosomal RNA is filed under the name uncultured bacterium. RNAcentral's name for it is "bacterial SSU rRNA". It matches the Rfam family "Bacterial small subunit ribosomal RNA", at positions 30 to 527 of the family's 1533-position model. The record is from RNAcentral.